Non-coding RNA from Drosophila melanogaster (fruit fly), 316 nucleotides. The record is from Ensembl. NCBI's taxonomy places the organism in Eukaryota, Metazoa, Arthropoda, Insecta, Diptera, Drosophilidae.
AACUUGAAUCCGAAAUUCGAGGGGUAGUCAAUCGAAGGUCGCCCGCGUGGAGUCGAUACAAUCUGCAUUUUUUGGGGUCAGUCAAGCACAUCCUGUGCCUCGAGCCUGCCGAGGAUACCGGAAUGCAUAUCCUGCGGCGAUUUUAUUCAUGACGCUGCAACCAAUGAGGGCUCCAGCCACAUCCCGGCCAAAAACUGAGACGGUCUUAGUCUCCAUUUCGGUUUCAGUUGCUUCUAUUUCGCACAGAGCAGCCCAGUUGAGCUCACAAUGAAAACCGCAAAGUCAUCUCCGGUUUAUUUACUGGCUAGCAGAAAAU